This 213-nucleotide long non-coding RNA is filed under the name Lathyrus oleraceus (garden pea). RNAcentral describes it as "Pisum sativum (pea) long non-coding RNA (PSAT_LNC006579)". The record is from RNAcentral. Lineage: Eukaryota; Viridiplantae; Streptophyta; Magnoliopsida; Fabales; Fabaceae.
UUGGUUUUGUGCUACCUGUGAGAUCUGGGUUUCAAGCAUCUUGUUGUGAGUGAUUAUCUGAUCAACCUUGGUUCCUAAUUGUGUUAUAAGUUCGUUUACGUGAAUGUUCUGGUUUAGGAAUUCUUUAUUUUGCUGAGUCUGGCCCGAUAUAAAUCUCUCCAUGAUUUUCUCAAGGUUAGACUUCUGGGGCACAUCUUGCAUAGGUUGGUUUGG